GGUGGGGUUCCCGAGCGGCCAAAGGGACCAGACUGUAAAUCUGGCGGCUUCGCCUUCGAAGGUUCGAAUCCUUCCCCCACCA
RNAcentral lists this transfer RNA (82 nucleotides) under Bradymonas sediminis. It matches the Rfam family "tRNA". Rfam says of the family: Transfer RNA (tRNA) molecules are approximately 80 nucleotides in length. Their secondary structure includes four short double-helical elements and three loops (D, anti-codon, and T loops). The record is from Rfam by way of RNAcentral. Lineage: Bacteria; Deltaproteobacteria; Bradymonadales; Bradymonadaceae.